RNAcentral lists this unclassified non-coding RNA (452 nucleotides) under Hevea brasiliensis (rubber tree). Lineage: Eukaryota; Viridiplantae; Streptophyta; Magnoliopsida; Malpighiales; Euphorbiaceae. The record is from RNAcentral.
CUCACUUCCUUCGACUGGAAUGAGGCGGACCCCAAGCGCAUCGGCACUUCGAGCAUUGACACUACCUGCACCAUCUGGGACAUCGAACGUGAGACCGUCGACACUCAGCUCAUCGCUCACGAUAAGGAGGUUUAUGACAUCGCCUGGGGCGGCGUCGGUGUUUUCGCCUCCGUCUCCGCCGACGGCUCCGUUAGGGUUUUCGAUCUUCGCGAUAAGGAGCAUUCCACCAUCAUCUACGAAAGCUCGGAACCUGACACCCCCUUGGUGCGACUAGGAUGGAAUAAGCAGGAUCCGAGGUACAUGGCUACGAUCAUCAUGGACAGUGCCAAGGUGGUGGUUCUGGACAUCCGCUUCCCGACUCUCCCUGUGGUGGAGUUGCAGAGGCACCAUGCUAGCGUCAAUGCCAUUGCUUGGGCUCCACAUAGCUCUUGCCACAUUUGCACUGCUGGGGA